GUAUAACAAAACAUAUAUCAAAGUGAAAUGGGCAAAAUAAGAAUU
RNAcentral lists this unclassified non-coding RNA (45 nucleotides) under Leishmania tarentolae. RNAcentral describes it as "guide RNA". Lineage: Eukaryota; Euglenozoa; Kinetoplastea; Trypanosomatida; Trypanosomatidae. The record is from RNAcentral.